UAGGGAAUCUUCGGCAAUGGACGGAAGUCUGACCGAGCAACGCCGCGUGAGUGAAGAAGGUUUUCGGAUCGUAAAGCUCUGUUGUUAGAGAAGAACGUUGGUAGGAGUGGAAAAUCUACCAAGUGACGGUAACUAACCAGAAAGGGACGGCUAACUACGUGCCAGCAGCCGCGGUAAUACGUAGGUCCCGAGCGUUGUCCGGACUUAUUGGGCGUAAAGCGAGCGCAGGCGGUUCUUUAAGUCUGAAGUUAAAGGCAGUGGCUUAACCAUUGUACGCAUUGGAAACUGGAGGACUUGAGUGCAGAAGGGGAGAGUGGAAUUCCAUGUGUAGCGGUGAAAUGCGUAGAUAUAUGGAGGAACACCGGUGGCGAAAGCGGCUCUCUGGUCAGUAACUGACGCUGAGGCUCGAAAGCGUGGGGAGCAAACAGG
This 429-nucleotide ribosomal RNA is filed under the name Bacillota bacterium. RNAcentral describes it as "Firmicutes bacterium partial 16S ribosomal RNA". It matches the Rfam family "Bacterial small subunit ribosomal RNA", at positions 355 to 776 of the family's 1533-position model. Lineage: Bacteria; Bacillati; Bacillota. The record is from RNAcentral.